AGUUUGAUCAUGGCUCAGAUUGAACGCUGGCGGCAGGCCUAACACAUGCAAGUCGAACGGUAACAGGAAUCAGCUUGCUGAUUCGCUGACGAGUGGCGGACGGGUGAGUAAUGUCUGGGAAACUGCCUGAUGGAGGGGGAUAACUACUGGAAACGGUAGCUAAUACCGCAUAACGUCGCAAGACCAAAGAGGGGGACCUUCGGGCCUCUUGCCAUCGGAUGUGCCCAGAUGGGAUUAGCUAGUAGGUGGGGUAACGGCUCACCUAGGCGACGAUCCCUAGCUGGUCUGAGAGGAUGACCAGCCACACUGGAACUGAGACACGGUCCAGACUCCUACGGGAGGCAGCAGUGGGGAAUAUUGCACAAUGGGCGCAAGCCUGAUGCAGCCAUGCCGCGUGUAUGAAGAAGGCCUUCGGGUUGUAAAGUACUUUCAGCGGGGAGGAAGGGAGU
Molecule: ribosomal RNA, 449 nt
Filed under: Escherichia coli
Lineage: Bacteria; Pseudomonadati; Pseudomonadota; Gammaproteobacteria; Enterobacterales; Enterobacteriaceae
Description: bacterial SSU rRNA
Rfam family: Bacterial small subunit ribosomal RNA
Source: RNAcentral